UGGUGUAGCUCAAUUGGUAGAGCAGCUGACUUGUAAUCAGCAGGUUGUAGGUUCAAGUCCUAUCGCC
Molecule: transfer RNA, 67 nt
Filed under: bovine gut metagenome
Rfam family: tRNA
About the family: Transfer RNA (tRNA) molecules are approximately 80 nucleotides in length.
Source: RNAcentral